UACGGGGGGGGCAAGCGUUGUUCGGAAUUACUGGGCGUAAAGGGCGCGUAGGCGGUUCGCUAAGUUGAAUGUGAAAACUCUGGGCUUAACCCAGAGCCUGCAUCCAAAACUGGCGAACUGGAGUACUGGAGGGGAAAGCGGAAUUCCUGGUGUAGCGGUGAAAUGCGUAGAUAUCAGGAGGAACACCGGUGGCGAAGGCGGCGAUCUGGGAAGAUACUGACGCUGAGGUGCGAAAGCGUGGGGAGCAAACAGG
RNAcentral lists this ribosomal RNA (253 nucleotides) under uncultured bacterium. RNAcentral's name for it is "partial 16S ribosomal RNA". It matches the Rfam family "Bacterial small subunit ribosomal RNA", at positions 524 to 776 of the family's 1533-position model. The record is from RNAcentral.